ACGAUGUCGUUUUUCGUCCUCUGCGGCGACGACAUGAUCGCAAUUUAGGCUUUAGCCUUCGCCGACUAGAUUCCUAUCGCCAUUUUCUUCUCAAUUUCUUCCGUUUUCUCGGCAUCCAGACACCGGGAGGCCGAAGCAAACCUCAGAUUUUCCGAUAUAUGGAUGCGAUCGGCUUUUGCGACGAACUCUUGCCUGCCGAUUCCGUCUCGACACGAUGACGAGAGAGUCUGGUGAACAGAGAAUUCCUAUGCAUAUGGACCCCACGUAUGAGGAUCGCAUCCGCAAUUGAUUUCGAAUUUCGUACGGACAACCGGGAUAUAGAUUCCUAUCAGAGGGGCGUCAAUGCUUCUUUGGCCAUUUACACAAGUGCACUUUCUCACGCGUGGACACGAAAGCCCUAAACCGAAUACGAAAGAAGGCUUGUGCGCGUGGGCUUGGGGUUUGACCUGCAGGCGUCUAAGCCCAACUACGGCCCGAGCGUUAGGCGCGCCUGGUGGCCAGGUCCGGCGGACUGAGGUCCAUGGGGACUGUUAGGCGCGGGUGGUGGCCAGUUCAUCUCCGUUUGUAAGGGUAAGUAGUCACGGGGUUCCCCAAUAUAUCAAAAAAAAAAUAAUAAUAAUAAUAAAUUAUUUAAUUUUAGUCGAGAGUCCAUUAUGGUUUUAGUAUUUGAUCACAUACUGUGGUUGAUUUUUUCAUUUUAACCCCCUGUUUGUGUGAAAAUCUUGUCGUCUUCUGGAUGCAUGCAAUGAACCGAAGAGGGUUUUGACU
This is a long non-coding RNA of Tarenaya hassleriana, 768 nucleotides long. RefSeq lists it as uncharacterized. NCBI's taxonomy places the organism in Eukaryota, Viridiplantae, Streptophyta, Magnoliopsida, Brassicales, Cleomaceae. The record is from RefSeq and is a predicted model, not a curated record. The transcript has 4 exons.